AUACGUAGGGGGCGAGCGUUGUCCGGAAUGAUUGGGCGUAAAGGGCGUGUAGGCGGCCUGUUAAGUCUGAAGUGAAAGUCCUGUUUUCAAGAUGGGAAUUGCUUUGGAUACUGGCGGGGUUGAGUGCAGGAGAGGUUAUCGGAAUUUCCGGUGUAGCGGGGAAAAGCGUAGAGAUCGGGAGGAACACCAGUGGCGAAGGCGGGUAACUGGACUGCAACUGACGCUGAGGCGCGAAAGUGUGGGGAGCAAACAGGAUUAGAUACCCUGGUAGUCCACACUGUAAACGAUGAAUGCUAGGUGUAAGAGGUAUCGACCCCUUUUGUGCCGGAGUCAACACAAUAAGCAUUCCGCCUGGGGAGUACGGCCGCAAGGUUGAAACUCAAAGGAAUUGACGGGG
RNAcentral lists this ribosomal RNA (397 nucleotides) under uncultured bacterium. RNAcentral describes it as "partial 16S ribosomal RNA". It matches the Rfam family "Bacterial small subunit ribosomal RNA", at positions 523 to 918 of the family's 1533-position model. The record is from RNAcentral.